GCCAGACUCCUACGGGAGGCAGCAGUGGGGGAUAUUGCACAAUGGGGGGAACCCUGAUGCAGCGACGCCGCGUGGGUGAAGGAGCGUUUCGGCGCGUAAAGCCCUAUCGGCAGGGAAGAAGGAGGACGGUACCUGACUAAGAAGCCCCGGCUAACUACGUGCCAGCAGCCGCGGGAAUACGUAGGGGGCAAGCGUUAUCCGGAUUUACUGGGUGUAAAGGGGGCGCAGACGGCGAUGCAAGCCAGGAGUGAAAGCCCGGGGCCCAACCCCGGGACUGCUCUUGGAACUGCGUGGCUAGAGUGCAGGAGGGGCAGGCGGAAUUCCUGGUGUAGCGGUGAAAUGCGUAGAUAUCUGGAGGAACAUCAGUGGCGAAGGCGACUAUCUGGCACAUAACUGACGCUGAGGAGCGAAAGCGUGGGUAGCAAACAGGAUUAGAUACCCGAGUAU
RNAcentral lists this ribosomal RNA (447 nucleotides) under uncultured bacterium. Its description in RNAcentral is "partial 16S ribosomal RNA". It matches the Rfam family "Bacterial small subunit ribosomal RNA", at positions 330 to 793 of the family's 1533-position model. The record is from RNAcentral.